UACGUAGGCAGCAAGCGUUGUUCGGAGUUACUGGGCGUAAAGAGUAUGUAGGCGGUUGCGUAAGUUCGGUGUGAAAUCUCCCGGCUUAACUGGGAGGGUGCGCCGAAAACUGCGUGGCUUGAGUGCGGGAGAGGAGAGCGGAAUUCCUGGUGUAGCGGUGAAAUGCGCAGAUAUCAGGAAGAACACCCGUGGCGAAGGCGGCUCUCUGGGACGGUACUGACGCUGAGACGCGAAAGCGUGGGGAGCAAACAGG
Molecule: ribosomal RNA, 253 nt
Filed under: uncultured bacterium
Lineage: Bacteria
Description: partial 16S ribosomal RNA
Rfam family: Bacterial small subunit ribosomal RNA
Source: RNAcentral